This 958-nucleotide long non-coding RNA is filed under the name Homo sapiens (human). Its description in RNAcentral is "MIR9-1 host gene, transcript variant 9 (MIR9-1HG)". The record is from RNAcentral. Lineage: Eukaryota; Metazoa; Chordata; Mammalia; Primates; Hominidae.
GGAGAGCAGCAAGAGAAAGAAAGAGAGAGGCAAGCGAAAUUCCUGAAUGGAUAGACAGAUGCUACGUCAUCGGAGCUGCAUCCUCCACUCCACAAGAGGCUAGGAGCUGGGGGGAGAGAGGCAGUCCAGCCGCAGGGGCCACCCGAACAGUCUCUCCUCCUCACAGAAGCCUGGAGCUGGGCAUCCAAGAAGAAGCAGCCUCAUUUGUUUUCUGGUGUCAUCGUAGGUGGCCACCUAUGGCUUUUGGGCUUCUCACCUGGGGCGGGUGGGUUCUGCACCACCCUCCCACCCUCCUUCCUCCGUGUGGACGAUAGAGCCACAUCCAGCACCACGGACAGCUCCCGGGCGCCUUCAUCUCCUCGUCCUCCAGGCAGCACAAGCCAUUGUGGAAUCUCCACCAGGUGUACAGAACGGUGCCUCUGCGUCCUGCCACUCAGGACCUCUCAAGUCCCCGAUGUGAUGGCUCCUCAGCAUGAUCAGGAGAAAUUCCAUGAUCUUGCUUAUUCCUGUCUUGGGAAGUCCUUCUCCAUGUCUAACCAAGAUCUAUAUGGCUAUAGCACCAGCUCUUUGGCUCUUGGCUUGGCAUGGCUAAGUUGGGAGACCAAAAAGAAGAAUGUACUUCAUCUGGUUGGGCUGGAUUCCCUCUGAUAAGCCUUCCCAGUUGACUGAAAGAUGAGGCUAGGCUCUAGCAAGUUGAAGUCAAACCAGCUCCUUCAAGAAGCUUUGAGCAGAAUGAAGUGGGGAGGACCCAGCUUCCAGCCCAGGAAGCCCACUGUACCUGGAGCCAUCUGGGAUAAGACUUUGACCCAUGACUCCCAUAUCCACAGCCUGUCCAUCCUAGCCCAUCCCAGUUUAUCCUGUAUCAUUUGAGCUGGGAUUCCCACAUCCUCUGAGUUGGAAGUCCCAUCUCAAGUCUUCAAUAAAGACUCUUGAAUAUUGAAUCACAUUAAAAAAAAAA